RNAcentral lists this ribosomal RNA (460 nucleotides) under uncultured bacterium. RNAcentral describes it as "partial 16S ribosomal RNA". It matches the Rfam family "Bacterial small subunit ribosomal RNA", at positions 338 to 795 of the family's 1533-position model. The record is from RNAcentral.
CCUACGGGAGGCAGCAGUGAGGAAUAUUGGUCAAUGGACGAGAGUCUGAACCAGCCAAGUAGCGUGAAGGAUGACUGCCCUAUGGGUUGUAAACUUCUUUUAUAUGGGAAUAAAAUGUUCCACGUGUGGGAUUUUGUAUGUACCAUAUGAAUAAGGAUCGGCUAACUCCGUGCCAGCAGCCGCGGUAAUACGGAGGAUCCGAGCGUUAUCCGGAUUUAUUGGGUUUAAAGGGAGCGUACGUGGAUUGUUAAGUCAGGUGUGAAAGUUUGCGGCUCAACCGUAAAAUUGCAGUUGAAACUGGCAGUCUUGAGUACAGUAGAGGUGGGCGGAAUUCGUGGUGUAGCGGUGAAAUGCUUAGAUAUCACGAAGAACUCCGAUUGCGAAGGCAGUUCACUGGACUGCAACUGACACUGAGGCUCGAAAGUGUGGGUAUCAAACAGGAUUAGAUACCCGUGUAGUC